Molecule: RNA transcript, 2550 nt
Organism: Helicoverpa armigera (cotton bollworm)
Lineage: Eukaryota; Metazoa; Arthropoda; Insecta; Lepidoptera; Noctuidae
Gene name: putative nuclease HARBI1
Exons: 8
Source: RefSeq, a predicted model, not a curated record
GAUGUCCACCGUAGAUCAUUUUGACAGCUGUUUCUGUAUCGAUGAACGUUAAAUUGCGAUUUCGUAAGCCCAGCGGGCAAUGAGUGGACAUCAAAUUGACAGCCACUGACAUUUUUUUAAAUACACUACAAAUAGCAGUGUUUUAUGCCCGAUUUUGAAUGUCGCGUGCAUUUUUGCUGGCAUUUGCGGACGAAGAGAGAAAACGAAGUUUGUCCAGAAUCCAGAAACGUCGACUGCGGGAUUGCAACAAUUCUCUGGAUUUACCGGAGAAGGAAUUCAUGGCAAAUUUCCGUGUCAACAAAUCAGGGUUUCAGCAAGUUUUGGCAGAGUUACGUCCAUUUCUGCAACGUGCUCAACGAAACACUGCUGUUGCAAUUGAGCUAAAAAUAUUGGCAGUCCUAAACUUUUAUGCAAAUGGAUCAUACCAACGAAGCUCCUCAUUCAUUUGCAACAUGUCUCAACCUACAUUUAGUAGGUGCCUACAUGAGGUAACCGAUGCUCUCAAUGUACGGGACGUGCUACUCAAGUACAUAAAGUUUCCUUCCACUCAACAAGAACGGGAAUCCACCAUGAGAGUGUUUAUGGAAAAAUUUGGAUUCCCAGGAGUUAUUGGGUGCAUUGAUGGAACCCAUGUUGCUAUAAUAAGGCCCACUGACCAUGAAGAAGCUUUUUUUAAUAGAAAACAUUAUCAUUCAUUAAAUGUUUUGCUGAUUUGUGAUGCGAAUUUGCAAAUACUGCAUGUUGAUGCAUCCUAUGGAGGUGCAUCACAUGAUUCAUUUGUGGAACCAAUGCUGCAUUAAAUCUCACCUAGAAGGAUUGGAAAGAUCUGGGGAGCAUUGUUGGCUAUUAGGUGAUUCUGGAUAUGCACAACGCCCUUGGAUGAUGACACCUAUAUUAGAGGCUGCUGUCGGUUCACCAGAGGAACAUUACACCACACUGCAUUGCAAAGUUCGCAAUACCGUUGAGCGUUGCAUAGGUGUAUUAAAGAAUCGUUGGCGCUGUUUAUUAGCACAUAGGGUUCUUCACUAUGACCCAGUGACUGUGGCUAAAAUUGUGAAUGCAUGUGUUGUACUACACAAUAUAGCAAACAUACACAAUGUUCCUCUGCCGGAGCCUGAGAGUGAAGAGUCUGACUAUUUGGAACAGAGCCAAAUCUCCCAACAGAUUAGAGCUGCAGCAAAUCUAGAUAAUUCAAGGACCAGAGAUAUUCUAGUCCAAAGAUUAUGGAAUACCAGGACUAAUUUAUAAACUCUUCCUGGCAUUAUUAAUGGUUUAAGAAUAUUUAUCUAUUUAGUACAAAUCGCGAGGCGCCCCCAGACCCAGACCCAAAACCCUGAAAAUCGGGACAUUCGGCAACACUAUGUGUAAGAACUAAAGUUUAAAUAUUUACUUAAAACCAUUUUAUUUGAUUGGGAUGACUGUCGUUAAAAUAACUCAUUUUUUUUUCUUUCUUCACAUGUGGCUUCCCCGGCGACCACGGGCAUGCGAGGUGCAAGAUUCCCAGCACUUCCCCACCAAGGCGAGCUGAACGAGCCGCAGGAUGCGGUACCUAUUUCAAAACUUGGCUUACCAAGUAACAUUAUUUGAAUUAUAUAAUUUAAUUUCCUCUUAACAUAGUUGCAUUAAAAUAGUUUUAUAUAAUUUAUUCAUUCAAUACAUUAGCUUCACUUGCAUUGUAUAACUUUCUCAGGGAUAACUAGCACUAUAUGAAAAUUAUUGUAAAAAAUUGAUUUUUUUUUAAAAGAGUGUCUAUGGAGUUUCUUGCCGGUUCUUCUCCAUGAGACCCACUCCUUGGAACCGUGCAACUAGCUUGACAUUUCGCAAGAGCUUUUCUACUUGUGAACUUUUAUGCGCCUAUUUUAAAUAAAUAAAAUAUAAUUUUAGUUUGAGUUUGAAUUACCAAUAACCAGUCUUACCAAGGAGUUUUGUUUUAACUGAGUUGAUCAGGUAAGAUAGGCAGUAGCUCCUAGUAAAAUGAAUAGGGUAAGUACCUAAAAUAAAACUAGUUAAGUCUUAUAAACGCUAUUUAUUCUUAGAAUAAAAGGUACAACAUUAUUUAAAAUUUCACUUAAUAAUAAUUAUUCUAAUUAAAAUCUUUUUUAAUAUAAAAACUAAUUAACAAUCACAACGUAGGGUGUAGACAUCCACUUACAAGGGGUCCUAUGGGCAUGGGUAAAACCGCUGACGUUUUUAAACAUUGGACCCAAAAGAUAGAGGGGGGGGCCGCGGAGGAUACAUUGUUUGCAACAUUCGGAACGACAACUAGACCAACGCAGUAGGUAAUCAUUCCCGGUUUGUUUGCCGGCGGUAGUCGUCCCGAAUGUCUCUUAAAACCCCAAGCAUCCCCUCCACUGCUUCUGUGAGUCGGGUCUCCACCUCUAUUCUCCUCAAUUCCAGGUCAUAGGCCCAACGAGGUAUUGACUCCUCUCUGCGAACUGAAAAAAUAAUAUUUGUGACUAUUUUUCUUUUUGGCUUACAUGCAUAUAUCGGGUGUGUCGUUCAUAAUCACAUUAAAUGAAAUGCGUUAAUAUACUGAGUGCUUAGUGCGAG